UGGGGAAUAUUGGACAAUGGGCGAAAGCCUGAUCCAGCCAUGCCGCGUGUGUGAAGAAGGUCUUCGGAUUGUAAAGCAUUUUAAGUUGGGAGGAAGGGCAUUAACCUAAUACGUUAGUGUUUUGACGUUACCGACAGAAUAAGCACCGGCUAACUCUGUGCCAGCAGCCGCGGUAAUACAGAGGGUGCAAGCGUUAAUCGGAAUUACUGGGCGUAAAGCGCGCGUAGGUGGUUUGUUAAGUUGGAUGUGAAAUCCCCGGGCUCAACCUGGGAACUGCAUUCAAAACUGACUGACUAGAGUAUGGUAGAGGGUGGUGGAAUUUCCUGUGUAGCGGUGAAAUGCGUAGAUAUAGGAAGGAACACCAGUGGCGAAGGCGACCACCUGGACUAAUACUGACACUGAGGUGCGAAAGCGUGGGGAGCAAACA
Molecule: ribosomal RNA, 427 nt
Filed under: uncultured bacterium
Lineage: Bacteria
Description: partial 16S ribosomal RNA
Rfam family: Bacterial small subunit ribosomal RNA
Source: RNAcentral